UCUCUUUAUAAUUUUGACAAUUAAUAAUUUCAUUUUUUUUUUUAUCUCUUUCCUCUCUUUAUAUUUUCGACAUUUAAUCAUUCCAUUUACACUGAAGUUUUUCAAGCAAUUGUGCACAGUUUCCAUUAAGAGACGAGUGAGCCAAACAUCAGUGGUCAUACAGCUUUUGUAAAUGCAGAGGAAAGGGAGUUAUAAAAAGAGAGAGAGAGAGGGGGGGGGUGUCACAGGGGAGUGAGAAGGCAGCUGUGUUGAAGGAAGAGUAUUAAAGCAAACUGAAAAUGAGAAAACGGAUACUGGCUUAGACUGUAGCAUUAGAAGACAGCUAAAUCUUUGAAUCCCUUGUUGUUUACCUGAUCCUCCAAACUCUUGCCUGAACAAAAGACAAAAGCAAUCCAAAGUGAGAAGAAUAAAGAAAAAAGAAAAAAAGAAAAGACAAAAUAGAUACAGGCUUAAACUGUAGCAUUAGAAGACAAGCCUGCUCAUCCCUUCUCCUGGCUUUAGCCUCUACUGUUCUUAUCCUUGCUUUAACUAACAAUCUACUCCCCCAGUCUCCUACAUGCCUCAGGUCUUUCUCUGCAUUCCUGACUGCCAUCUGACCCUGCCAUUCUCUAUUUUCUUCCUCACCAUCCUGUCGCCUAACUUCUGCCGUUCUUCCUUUGUGUUCUUCGUUUCCACUGUUCCAUUUCUUUUUUUCUUUUUUUUUUCCAAGAUGAGGUUCCCUCUGCUCUAAAUAUCUUUUCAAGCCAUCUCUCCUCGCCGAGUCCUUCUAUCUUCCUAAGUAAAUUAAGUUUUCCUUUCUCAACCCUGUCCCUGAAUGUGCUUCAUCACAUCUCACCUCAGAUUGCCUCUACUGCUGUACUGUUUGGGAGCCCUAAACUCCACCUGCUUGUAAUGUUCGUGAUCUCUCUAACUUCAUGAGAUCUCCCUCCCGGUAAUGACACCGCCGUGUGCACAGCGCCUCGCCUCCCGCUCCUCCAACCCAGCGCACUGGUCACCACAUUGGUAUUGCAAGGUUUCUGAGUGAUAAAGUGGGUCUACCUGUCACAUGAGUUACUCCAGAGAUGUUUCAAAGUUUAUAAGUAGGUUUUACAAGGGUUAUAAGUGGGUAUUACAAAAUCUUAGUGGUAUUAGUAGUACUAGUGGUAUUAGCUACAGAGGCAAGACGAGGUGUGAAGUGGUUGUACCUGUCAUGGCAGCCACUACAGGGUUAUUACAAGGUCAAUAAGUGUGCUAUACAAGGGUUAAGUAGUUUUACUCGCAAUAUUUCCCGACCAAUCAAAGGCUACAACGAAGCUGCCAAGUGGUUCUGUCUGUCAUUAGCCACAACAGGCAUUUCAGACUGGUUGUGGUUCCAGCUGCUGCAUUACAAGGUUAACAUAACAGCGUAGGCAAUGGUCGGUAUUACAGCCGUCAUGUUGGUCACCACAGAGAUAUUGCAAGAUAUAUACGUGGUUGAGUGGUGCUGUAUUAGUCAGGGGAAGUGGGGAUGUGUUUAACGAAGCUUUUAAGUGGUUUCACCUGUCAGGUUAGCCGCCACAGAUGUAAUUUACACUGUGGUUAAGUAAUUACAUCUGCCGUAUCAGUUAUCACAGGUAUUUGAAGGUUUAUAAGCAAUUACACUCGUCAUACUAAUGAUGAGCUCAGGUGUUACGAGGUUCAUGAGUGACAAGAUGGUUCCCUCUGCCUCGCCAGACUCGCAGCACCCACCCCGCCUCUCUGCUUCAGUCACCAGCCUGCCCCUCCCUCCCUCCUUGCCUUCCUCCCACCCCCUGGACAGGCAGCGUGCAGGCUUGGUAGACACAGAUGAAGCAUUCUUUCCCCAGCACUUGCCUUCACACCCACGGCCACGCGCCCCUCCGUCACAGCGUUAACCACCCAACAAGCACCGCAUCACAGCCAGGCGGGGUACAACUGCCAUCAUGAUAGUUUGCAUCAACGACCCAACAAUACCCAAUUAUCUGCCACUACAGACGAGUAAUGUGUGCGUGGCUUCAUUAUCUUGUACAGAGAGAGAGAGAGAGAGAGAGAGAGAGAGAGAGAGAGAGAGAGAGAGAGAGUUUGUUAAUUUAUUGCGCCAGUCUACAGAAAACACCAUACAAAACUACUCCUGACAGUAUAAAUUGAUAAUUCAGAUAAUGACAUGAUGAAGGCAAGCAGGUUAUGGUCUGGCAGCGUAUCAAAGGGAGUGACAGCAGACAUAAAUGAAUUAACGGUGCUGGUUUGGCUUGUUAACUACCUGUCAUGAAUUAACGGUGCUAGUUUGGCUUGUUAACUACCUGUCAUGAAUUAACGGUGCUGGUUUGGCUUGUUAACUACCUGUCAUGAAUUAACAGUGCUAGUUUGGCUUGUUAACUACCUGUCAUGAAUUAACGGUGCUGGUUUGGCUUGUUAACUACCUGUCAUGAAUUAACGGUGCUGGUUUGGCUUGUUAACUACCUGUCAUGAAUCAUCUUUGGUAUGUGAUCUACACUUAAUAUUGCGAUCUGUGUGUUAUGAACCUUUUGUAUGCAAUGUACACUUUAUAUUGUGAUCUACAACAAGAAAGGUUGUACUCAUCAAGAACAAGGAAAACACUUGUUCUGGUUUGGAGAGAAAAUGUCUGGUUAGAGUCUGACGCAGGAGUGGAAUGUCUGUUGUAGCGUCGAAGUUCCAAGAAGAGACCGUGAGACACUUCACCCAGUCAUUCAGAGAGAAGUCGCUGAAGGCUCAGUAAUCCAUUCCAAUGACUCGCCAGCUUACUCUAAUUUAAACCAACUCAAAUUUCAUCAUUUUUCCGUAAAUCAUCAUCAAUAUUACGGCGAUUCUAACAUCGGAGGUCGUACUCAAGGAACUGAAAGAUCCUGGCUUGAUGCGAAGAUUCGUAUAUUGAAAAUAAUGUGAGGCAUCGAUCAAAGAACAUUUCAGUCACCGAGACUACUUGUGUUGGCGGAUGAUGACAAAACAAGCUCCUGACGUCUAUGUAGCAUGUUUAGCCCAUGUACUGUACGUGCUGCUCAUCGCUACAAUAUGAAGACAAGAAAAAAAUAAUUACAUUUUCUCUCUAUGCUAUAUAUCAUUCCAGAAUAAAUAUUUGUACAGUG
Molecule: long non-coding RNA, 3080 nt
Organism: Scylla paramamosain (green mud crab)
Lineage: Eukaryota; Metazoa; Arthropoda; Malacostraca; Decapoda; Portunidae
Exons: 2
Source: RefSeq, a predicted model, not a curated record